GCUAACUCUGUGCCAGCAGCCGCGGUAAGACAGAGGGUGCAAACGUUGUUCGGAAUUACUGGGCGUAAAGCGCGUGUAGGCGGCUUGGCAAGUCGGGUGUGAAAGCCCUGGGCUCAACCUAGGAAGUGCACUCGAAACUGCCUCGCUUGAGUGUCGGAGAGGGUAGUGGAAUUCUCGGUGUAGAGGUGAAAUUCGUAGAUAUCGAGAGGAACACCGGUGGCGAAGGCGGCUACCUGGACGACUACUGACGCUGAGACGCGAAAGCGUGGGGAGCAAACAGGAUUAGAUACCCUUGUAGUC
Molecule: ribosomal RNA, 300 nt
Filed under: uncultured Chondromyces sp.
Lineage: Bacteria; Pseudomonadati; Myxococcota; Polyangiales; Polyangiaceae
Description: bacterial SSU rRNA
Rfam family: Bacterial small subunit ribosomal RNA
Source: RNAcentral